AGCCUACUCAAUGUGAAGACAAGGAUGAAGACCUUUAUGAUGAUCCAUUUCCAUUUGGUGAAUGCCUCUUUCAAAAGAAGACGUAAGACAUCUGGCGUCAAGAAGAAUAAAUACAAUACCAUUAAAGAAUUAUAAACAGAACCAGAGCCAGAGAAGAAUACCAUUUUUACUUGACAGAUGACUGACACAAAACUUGGUUACACAGACGAGUAUUCAGCAGAUACUUUCUCGAAAAUGAAC
This is a long non-coding RNA of Pan troglodytes (chimpanzee), 240 nucleotides long. RefSeq lists it as uncharacterized. The transcript has 3 exons. NCBI's taxonomy places the organism in Eukaryota, Metazoa, Chordata, Mammalia, Primates, Hominidae. The record is from RefSeq and is a predicted model, not a curated record.